ACAACACAAAUCUCUUGUUGACCUAAGUAUGUUUACCAAUAAAUUUUCUAGUUCUCUUCCUCCACAGAUGAACAAUAUUACACGUUUGAGAACUUUGCAAUUGUGUGAAAAUAGAUUCACUGGCCCUCUACCAGAGGACACAUGCAGUGGUGGACUACUUGAAUGUCUUGUAGUUGAAGACAAUUAUUUUAAAGGUCCUAUACCGAAAAGCAUUAAAAAUUGCACCAGCUUGUUGAGAGUCAGGCUUGAAAGAAAUCAAUUAACUGGAAAUAUAGCAGAAGGUUUUGGCGUAUACCCUCACCUCAACUACAUUGAUUUGAGUAAUAACAAAUUUUUUGGUCAGAUUUCUCCGAAUUGGGGGCAAUGUCGGAAUUUAACAAGCUUAAAAAUUUCCAAUAAUAAUAUUUCUGGUGAGAUUCCACUUCAGCUUGCAGAUGCAACUCAACUCCGUGUGCUUGACCUCUCAUCAAAUCAUCUGUCUGGGGAGAUUCCAAAAGAACUAGGAAACUUGAAGUUGCUACUUGAUCUUAUUCUAAACAAUAAUCAGCUGUCAGGUGAAAUUCCGUUUCAAAUCAAAAUGCUAUCCACACUCCAACAGCUCAACUUUGCAAGAAAUGAUCCUAGUGGAUUAAUAACUAAACAGCUUGGAGAUUGCUUCAAUUUACUGUUUUUGAAUUUCAGCGGCAACAAUUUUUCUGGCAGAAUUCCUCCUGAGAUGGGUAAUUUACUCUCACUGCAAUCUAUUGAUUUGAGUCAAAAUUCAUUGAUUGGAGGGAUACCACAACAACUUGGGAAGUUGCAGCGGCUAGAGAUUUUGAAUCUCUCCCACAACAAGAUAUCUGGUUCAAUUCCAGUUGCUUUUGAUGCUAUGCUGAGCUUGACAACUGUGGACUUAUCUAACAAUGAAUUAGAAGGCCCCAUUCCUAAUGUCAAAGCCCUUCAUGAGGCUCCAUUUGAGGCAUUCAGAAAUAACAAAGAUUUGUGCGGAAGGGCCUCUGGUUUGAAAGCCUGUCCCACAUUAGAGAGCCACAAUCUAAAUGACAAAGGAGGCAGCAAAAUUGUUGUUAUAAUUCUGGUUCCUGUUUUAUGCACACUGUUUCUCACAUUCAUCAUUGUUGGUUUUAUAUAUACAUGUUGCCCAAGAGUGUAUAAAAGAGGCAACAAGGUACAGGAGGCGGAAAAUAAAAAUCCUUUUGCAGUAUGGAGCUAUGAUGGGAAAAUGGUGUACCAAAGCAUUGUCGAAGCAACAGAAGGAUUCGACUCCAAGUUUUGCAUUGGAGUGGGGAGAUCCAGAACUGUCUACAGAGCUAUGCUGCCAGGAGAAAAGGUUGUCGCUGUGAAGAAACUUCACCAGCAUUUGGAAAGUGAAAUUGCCAAUUCAAAAGCAUUUGAAAGUGAGAUUCAAGCUUUAACAGAAAUAAGGCAUCGCAACUUUGUGAAGCUUCACGGUUUUUGCUCAAAUAAUUAUCACUCACUGUUGGUUUACGAGUUCUUGGAAAAAAGGAGCCUUGAAAUUCUGCUGAAGAGUGAUGAACAAGCAGUGGCAUUCGACUGGAUGAAGAGAGUAAAUGUUGUGAAAUGUGUGGCAAAUGCUUUGUCUUAUAUGCACCAUGGAUGCUCAUCUCCUAUAGUUCAUCGUGACAUAUCAAGCAAGAAUGUUCUGCUAGGCUCAGAAUAUGAGGCUCACGUGUCUGACUUUGGCACUGCUAGGAUUCUGAAGCCUGAUUCAUUUAAUUGGACCUCAGUUGCAGGCACAUUGGGAUAUAUAGCUCCAGAGUUUGCUUUCACAAUGAAGGUGAAUGAAAAAUGUGAUGCAUAUAGCUUUGGAGUGUUAGCAUUGGAAACAAUCAUGGGAAGUCAUCCAGGCGAUCUCAUCUGAUCUUUUUCAUUGCCGUCAUCAGCUUCAGAGCCAUCAGUUCAUCAAUCAUUAUUGAAGGAAAUGUUGGACAAUCGACUAACACCUCCAAGAAGUCGAAUGGCUAGAGAAAUAGUCUGUAUCAUGAAACUAGCAUUUUCGUGUUUGCAUUUGAAUCCACAAUCUCGUCCAACCAUGCAACAUAUUUCUCAGGAGCUAUCAAUUCAGACUCAGAGGCCAUCUUUGCAGAUACAAUACCACAAUAUUACAAUAGGAGAGCUGCUUGGUUACUAAAAUCACGAAUCUUCCAACAGUCUGAAAUUUUAAUCAUCUUUGUAACUGCACGAACAUAUAAUAAAUGGUCUUGUUGAUCAAGUUACCUUUGCUCAAGUAAUAUUCUAGGCCCUAUAGUUCAGUAGAAGUAUGCACCUAUUUGGAAACAAGGAAAAUUGUUCCGUGAAAUUUUGUUUGGAUCACCUUUCCCGAUAUUAUCUCUAGUUUGAGCCAU
RNAcentral lists this unclassified non-coding RNA (2363 nucleotides) under Hevea brasiliensis (rubber tree). Lineage: Eukaryota; Viridiplantae; Streptophyta; Magnoliopsida; Malpighiales; Euphorbiaceae. The record is from RNAcentral.